UUCCGGUUGAUCCUGCCGGACCUGACUGCUAUCGGAUUGAUACUAAGCCAUGCGAGUCAUUGUAGCAAUACAAGGCAGACGGCUCAGUAACGCGUAGUCAACCUACCCUAUGGACGGGGAUAACCUCGGGAAACUGAGAAUAAUACCAGAUAGAACAUUAUGCCUGGAAUGGUUUAUGUUUCAAAUAAUUUAUUGCCGUAGGAUGGGACUGCGGCCUAUCAGUUUGUUGGUGAGGUAAUGGCCCACCAAGACUAUUACAGGUACGGGCUCUGAGAGGAGUAGCCCGGAGAUGGGUACUGAGACACGGACCCAGGCCCUAUGGGGCGCAGCAGGCGAGAAAACUUUGCAAUGUGCGAAAGCACGACAAGGUUAUUCCGAGUGAUUUCUGCUAAAGGAAUCUUUUGUCAGUCCUAGAAACACUGUUGAAUAAGGGGUGGGCAAGUUCUGGUGUCAGCCGCCGCGGUAAAACCAGCACCUCAAGUGGUCAGGAUGAUUAUUGGGCCUAAAGCAUCCGUAGCCUGCUUUGUCAGUUUUCGGUUAAAUCCAUACGCUCAACGUAUGGGCUGCCGGAAAUACUGCAAAGCUAGGGAGUGGGAGAGGUAGACGGUACUCGGGAGGAAGGGGUAAAAUCCUUUGAUCUCUCGAUGACCACCUGUGGCGAAGGCGGUCUACCAGAACACGUCCGACGGUGAGGGAUGAAAGCUGGGGGAGCAAACCGGAUUAGAUACCCGGGUAGUCCCAGCUGUAAACUAUGCAAACUCGGUGAUGCGUUGGCUUGUAGCUAGCGCAGUGCCGCAGGGAAGCCGUUAAGUUUGCCGCCUGGGAAGUACGUACGCAAGUAUGAAACUUAAAGGAAUUGGCGGGGGAGCACCACAAGGGGUGAAGCCUGCGGUUCAAUUGGAGUCAACGCCGGA
This 914-nucleotide ribosomal RNA is filed under the name uncultured archaeon. Its description in RNAcentral is "bacterial SSU rRNA". It matches the Rfam family "Archaeal small subunit ribosomal RNA", at positions 1 to 922 of the family's 1478-position model. The record is from RNAcentral.